UGGGGAAUCUUCCGCAAUGGACGAAAGUCUGACGGAGCAACGCCGUGUGAGUGAAGAAGGUUUUCGGAUCGUAAAACUCUGUCUUUUGGGGCGAACGUGAGUAUGGUGAACAAUCAUAGUCAGUGACGGUACCAAAGGAGGAAGCCACGGCUAACUACGUGCCAGCAGCCGCGGUAAUACGUAGGUGGCAAGCGUUGUCCGGAAUUAUUGGGCGUAAAGAGCGCGUAGGCGGGAUAGUCAGUCUGUUGUAAAGUGCGGGGCUCAACCCCGUGAUGGCAAUGGAAACAGCUAUUCUUGAGUGCAGGAGAGGAAAGUGGAAUUCCCAGUGUAGCGGUGAAAUGCGUAGAUAUUGGGAGGAACACCAGUGGCGAAGGCGACUUUCUGGACUGUGUCUGACGCUGAGGCGCGAAAGCCAGGGGAGCGAACGGGAUUAGAUACCCCCGGUAGUCCUGGCCGUAAACGAUGGGUACUAGGUGUGGGGGGUAUCGACCCCUUCCGUGCCGGAGUUAACGCAAUAAGUA
RNAcentral lists this ribosomal RNA (521 nucleotides) under uncultured bacterium. RNAcentral describes it as "partial 16S ribosomal RNA". It matches the Rfam family "Bacterial small subunit ribosomal RNA", at positions 355 to 866 of the family's 1533-position model. The record is from RNAcentral.